Molecule: ribosomal RNA, 497 nt
Filed under: uncultured bacterium
Lineage: Bacteria
Description: partial 16S ribosomal RNA
Rfam family: Bacterial small subunit ribosomal RNA
Source: RNAcentral
GAUGAACGCUGGCGGCGUGCCUAAUACAUGCAAGUCGAGCGAACAGACGAGGAGCUUGCUCCUCUGACGUUAGCGGCGGACGGGUGAGUAACACGUGGAUAACCUACCUAUAAGACUGGGAUAACUUCGGGAAACCGGAGCUAAUACCGGAUAAUAUAUUGAACCGCAUGGUUCAAUAGUGAAAGACGGUUUUGCUGUCACUUAUAGAUGGGUCCGCGCCGCAUUAGCUAGUUGGUAAGGUAACGGCUUACCAAGGCAACGAUGCGUAGCCGACCUGAGAGGGUGAUCGGCCACACUGGAACUGAGACACGGUCCAGACUCCUACGGGAGGCAGCAGUAGGGAAUCUUCCGCAAUGGGCGAAAGCCUGACGGAGCAACGCCGCGUGAGUGAUGAAGGUCUUCGGAUCGUAAAACUCUGUUAUUAGGGAAGAACAAAUGUGUAAGUAACUAUGCACGCCUUGACUGUACCUAAUCAGAAAGCCACGGCUAACUACGUG